GACGAACGCUGGCGGCGUGCUUAACACAUGCAAGUCGAACGCUGAACCCGCUUCGGUGGGGGAUGAGUGGCGAACGGGUGAGUAACACGUGGGCAACCUGCCCCCGGCUCUGGGAUAACUCCAAGAAAUUGGGGCUAAUACCGGAUGUGACCGCUGGCCGCAUGGUCUGGUGGUGGAAAGGGUUUCCGGCUGGGGAUGGGCCCGCGGCCUAUCAGCUUGUUGGUGGGGUAGUGGCCUACCAAGGCGACGACGGGUAGCCGGCCUGAGAGGGUGACCGGCCCACCGGGGGUGGAACACGGCCCAGGGCGCCGCGGGGAGGCGGCGGGGGGGAUUUUUGCGGAGGGGGCGGGGGCGGAAGGCGGGGCGCCCGGGGGGGGGAUGGGGGCCUCCGGUUUGAAACCCUGUUUCAGCGGGGAGGAAGGGAGGGGGCGGUUCCCGGAAAAAGAAACCCCGGCCACCUACGGC
Molecule: ribosomal RNA, 465 nt
Filed under: uncultured bacterium
Lineage: Bacteria
Description: partial 16S ribosomal RNA
Rfam family: Bacterial small subunit ribosomal RNA
Source: RNAcentral